GGACGAACGCUGGCGGCGUGCCUAAUACAUGCAAGUCGAACGAGUCCUCCCAAUUUGAUUUUAUGCUUGCAUAAAUGAUUUUUGGAUUCGGGACGAGUGGCGAACUGGUGAGUAACACGUGGGUAACCUGCCCUAAAGCAGGGGAUAACAUUUGGAAACAGAUGCUAAUACCGUAUAAUUAGUUGGAACCACAUGGUUCCAACUUGAAAGAUGGCUCUGCUAUCACUUUAGGAUGGACCCGCGGCGUAUUAGCUAGUUGGUGAGAUAAAAGCUCACCAAGGCGAUGAUACGUAGCCGACCUGAGAGGGUAAUCGGCCACAUUGGGACUGAGACACGGCCCAGACUCCUACGGGAGGCAGCAGUAGGGAAUCUUCCACAAUGGACGAAAGUCUGAUGGAGCAACGCCGCGUGAGUGAAGAAGGGUUUCGGCUCGUAAAACUCUGUUGUUAAAGAAGAACAAGUGUAAGAGUAACUGUUUACGCUUUGACGGUAUUUAACCAGAAAGCCACGGCUAACUACGUGCCAGCAGCCGCGGUAAUACGUAGGUGGCAAGCGUUGUCCGGAUUUAUUGGGCGUAAAGCGAGCGCAGGUGGUCUUUUAAGUCUGUUGUGAAAGCCCUCAGCUCAACUGAGGAAGUGCAGCGGAAACUAGGAGACUUGAGUACAGAAGAGGAUAGUGGAACUCCAUGUGUAGCGGUGAAAUGCGUAGAUAUAUGGAAGAACACCAGUGGCGAAAGGCGGCUAUCUGGUCUGUUACUGACACUGAGGCUCGAAAGCAUGGGUAGCGAACAGGAUUAGAUACCCUGGUAGUCCAUGCCGUAAACGAUGAAUACUAGGUGUUGGAGGGUUUCCGCCCUUCAGUGCCGCAGCUAACGCAUUAAGUAUUCCGCCUGGGGAGUACGACCGCAAGGUUGAAACUCAAAGGAAUUGACGGGGGCCCGCACAAGUGGUGGAGCAUGUGGUUUAAUUCGAUGCUACGCGAAGAACCUUACCAGGUCUUGACAUCUUCUGCCAACCUAAGAGAUUAGGCGUUCCCUUCGGGGACAGAAUGACAGGUGGUGCAUGGUUGUCGUCAGCUCGUGUCGUGAGAUGUUGGGUUAAGUCCCGCAACGAGCGCAACCCUUAUUAUUAGUUGCCAGCAUUAAGUUGGGCACUCUAGUGAGACUGCCGGUGAUAAACCGGAGGAAGGUGGGGAUGACGUCAAAUCAUCAUGCCCCUUAUGACCUGGGCUACACACGUGCUACAAUGGAUGGUACAACGAGUCGCGAAACCGCGAGGUCAAGCUAAUCUCUUAAAGCCAUUCUCAGUUCGGAUUGCAGGCUGCAACUCGCCUGCAUGAAGUUGGAAUCACUAGUAAUCGUGGAUCAGCAUGCCACGGUGAAUACGUUCUCGGGCCUUGUACUCACC
RNAcentral lists this ribosomal RNA (1406 nucleotides) under uncultured Bacilli bacterium. RNAcentral describes it as "bacterial SSU rRNA". It matches the Rfam family "Bacterial small subunit ribosomal RNA", at positions 27 to 1391 of the family's 1533-position model. Lineage: Bacteria; Bacillati; Bacillota; Bacilli. The record is from RNAcentral.